Molecule: ribosomal RNA, 492 nt
Filed under: uncultured bacterium
Lineage: Bacteria
Description: partial 16S ribosomal RNA
Rfam family: Bacterial small subunit ribosomal RNA
Source: RNAcentral
AGUGAACGCUGGCGGUAGGCCUAACACAUGCAAGUCGAACGGCAGCACAGUAAGAGCUUGCUCUUACGGGUGGCGAGUGGCGGACGGGUGAGGAAUACAUCGGAAUCUACUUUUUCGUGGGGGAUAACGUAGGGAAACUUACGCUAAUACCGCAUACGACCUACGGGUGAAAGCAGGGGAUCUUCGGACCUUGCGCGAUUGAAUGAGCCGAUGUCGGAUUAGCUAGUUGGCGGGGUAAAGGCCCACCAAGGCGACGAUCCGUAGCUGGCCGAGAGGGCGGACAGGCACACCUGGAACGGGGCCACGGCCCGGCCCCCUAGGGGAGCCGCCAUUGGGGAUUUUUGGCCAAGGGGGGCACCCUUGUUCCGGCCAGCCCGCGUGGGGGAAGAGGCCCUCCGGUUUGUAAACGCCUUUUUUCGGGAAGGAAAACCCUGGGGUUAUUCCCCCGGGGGGAUGACGGUACCGGAAGAAUAAGCACCGGCUAACUACGUG